This is a non-coding RNA of Carnobacterium iners, 89 nucleotides long. The record is from Rfam. Lineage: Bacteria; Bacillati; Bacillota; Bacilli; Lactobacillales; Carnobacteriaceae.
GGCCGUAUGGCAAUGGAGAACUUACGAAUCGUGUCAGAUCCGGAAGGAAGCAGCACUAAGUUUGCUUGUCCAUGUGCUGUACGUACAUA